Molecule: unclassified non-coding RNA, 1148 nt
Filed under: Hevea brasiliensis (rubber tree)
Lineage: Eukaryota; Viridiplantae; Streptophyta; Magnoliopsida; Malpighiales; Euphorbiaceae
Source: RNAcentral
ACAAAACAAUCAAGGUUACAUUCCAUUCAUUGAGCUCAACAAGGAACAUUGAUUAAAUGGCUGAUCAUGCAAACAUACAACUUCUGUCUCAGGCAACCAUCUGCAUCUUAGUAACCUGAUGUAGCACCAGAAAGACCAAAGGCAAACAAGGAACGAAUCCUUAAGGGAAAAGAGAACUAAUUCUCAAAUUAUAUUGAUCUCAAAUAACAAUCAUAUCAAAGUCUCAAACUAAUAAUAACAGAAACCCUAGGUCCUAUAUAUAGUAUUAGUAUUCCUACUAGCUUUAGGAUUGAGCCUAAUUAGAAAGAUAGAAAUUAUAUCCUAACUAGAAUUCAAUAAUUAAAAUACUUCCUAAAUAAAACACUAAAACUAAUAAAAUUCUUAAAUAAUAAAAGCUCUAAAUUUCUGAAUUUUGCAAUAAACAUAACUCCUAAAUUCUUGUUCCAUAUUGCAUUACUUCCACUAUCUUUUGGCUUUUCCUUUCCCUUCAUCAGGCUGUUAGUGUGUAAUAGAUUAUACACUGACUGUAUUGUCUACAUACAAUUUGAUGUUCCUAAAUAGUGGGCAUCAAAUUAGCAAUGGAAUAUUCACUUUGAACCUGAUAUUUAUGUUAUUUAUGUUUGGAAGAAUGUUGAUUGAAAUAAUAUACAAGGUCGUCAUAAAUGUAACUGUACCUGAACAGAAAGGUGUCUAGAUUGUUGGAGUAGAGGUAUGUCAAGGCUGCUAGAAUGAAUCAGUCGAAUAACAUUUCAUAGCAUCCCAUAUGGAUUGUAAGUGGAGUCCUAUUUCUAGCAGUGGAAAUAUUUGGACUCUCACACAAUUGUGCAUGACCUAAUACUAGAUGAUGUAGUUUUCAUCUCAGUAGUUAUAAUUAAUGAAAGUGAUGUUUUCCUAUUGGGAGGAUAUGUUGUUUGUAUGAUGAUGAAGGGAGACGGUUUGGAAGGAAACAUAGAUAUUUAGGAUAUUUGUUUGGUACUUAUGCUUGAUUAAUACUUAUGAAAUUAGGUGAAGAUGGUUGAGGGCAUAAUAAUUAGCAAGAGUAUAAGUAACCUGGGUACUGCUAGUACCAGUGUUAUCAAUGCGAAAGGCUACACUAAGGCAACAAGGGACCUUACGGCUUUAGUGAGAGGCGAGAAGCGAGGCGAGGC